AUCCAGAUGAUGAGUCCCAAGUAGGACGAAAUGACGCGAGUUCUGGAU
RNAcentral lists this non-coding RNA (48 nucleotides) under Schistosoma mansoni. The record is from RNAcentral. Lineage: Eukaryota; Metazoa; Platyhelminthes; Trematoda; Strigeidida; Schistosomatidae.